UUUUGGACAAUGGGCGCAAGCCUGAUCCAGCCAUGCCGCGUGCAGGAUGAAGGCCUUCGGGUUGUAAACUGCUUUUGUACGCCCACGAAAAGACUCUGGUUAAUACCUGGGGUCCAUGACGGUACCGUAAGAAUAAGCACCGGCUAACUACGUGCCAGCAGCCGCGGUAAUACGUAGGGUGCAAGCGUUAAUCGGAAUUACUGGGCGUAAAGCGUGCGCAGGCGGUUAUGUAAGACAGAUGUGAAAUCCCCGGGCUCAACCUGGGAACUGCAUUUGUGACUGCAUAGCUAGAGUACGGCAGAGGGGGAUGGAAUUCCGCGUGUAGCAGUGAAAUGCGUAGAUAUGCGGAGGAACACCGAUGGCGAAGGCAAUCCCCUGGGCCUGUACUGACGCUCAUGCACGAGA
RNAcentral lists this ribosomal RNA (405 nucleotides) under uncultured bacterium. RNAcentral describes it as "bacterial SSU rRNA". It matches the Rfam family "Bacterial small subunit ribosomal RNA", at positions 362 to 758 of the family's 1533-position model. The record is from RNAcentral.